CGGAAACGCUGUUUUGUAAGGAGAAUGGGGAGUACAAGAGGCUGCGCAUCAAGUGAACAACAAGUGAAAAUGAAUCAGUGCGAAAGUGGGUGAUAAGGAAAGGUAGCAAAGUUGGAGUUUUGUUGUUGCGUGUGACAAACGCGGAGGGAGGGAGUGAAUGAGUGCAAAUUCACAGACCCAAGCACACACCCACACACAUCAAUCAAUGUUCUCUCCAAUGACUAAAAGGAUUAGACACGCACCUCAAAACUCCCACAGAUCUUGUCUACAGAAGUGGAGCCAUGACCCAGCUUCGUGUUUUUUGCAAUUUGUCUGACGUUGUUUAGAGGAAGUGAUUGAUUUUGUGGUGUGGGUUUGCUUGCGGUGAGUCGUGCCCCAUCUCGCUGCAAGCAAAUGAUGCAGCACGGGUGAUGGCCGAGGAGAGAAAGAGAGAGAGUGAGAGAGAGGGAGACAGAGAGUACACACACUCACUAAACACCCACCUCAUCUCAUGCUGUUGACAUCGCACGCGAGCAUGGGCUGCUGAGUAUCGGGAAUGGUGUGUUGCUGCAGGACGUCAAUUCAGCGUCACGCUUGAGUUGUUCGCACGUUUCUCUUUGCUCUGGAAUGAGAGCGCGUCAAUGGAUGUUCUGUCUGGAGUGGUGAUGGGCCUGGUUAGGGUUCGGUAACCCUAUCUGGCUGGGUCAUCCGACCCCUAACUUUGUUUCUUAUCUUGGCCGAGAAUUUGUCAUUGUUACUUAUCAGAAGACUGGUGCAUUUAUUCGUCGUAGCUAAGAAGAAGGGCAGCUUUCAGCAUAAUCUCUUGGCGUAGCGUUGUUCAAAAUGACUUCCACACACACACACAACUUCGUUUUAAACACGUGCUGUCGUUCCGAUCAGUUCUGUUGAUUGUUCAGCAUUGUGAAGUAUUGUGUAAUGUAGGGCCUGGCGGAAAACCUUGAAUUGACUUCUCUUCAAAUGCAUUUGCAGCUACCUUUUAGGGUUUCGAAACUCUUGGAACAGAAGAACUAGAUCUGUAUCACUGGUGUAUUGAUUGACACUGAUCAGUGCAACAACAAUCCAAGCAUCACCGUUCUUCUUCCUCUUCUGAAGCUUCGUUGAAAGCUUUGCAUGGAACCAUCCCAGCAAGACAACUUCGGGGCUUUGUCAUCCCAAAGCCAUGAAGACAAGCUGGUUUUGUGGAUCCAUUGAUGUUUGCUUAGAAAUGGAUAUUCCUUCCAGACUUAGCGUGAUUACAGAUCAACCAGGUAUGACGAGUCUGACUUGAAGUAAUCAUGGAAAUCCUUGAAACCUCCACCAUUUAACGUGUCAGUGUGUGUAUAUAUAUAAAAAUAUAAAUAGUUGUAUCGCAAUUAAAGAAUGUUGGUUGAUGAGGACAAAGCAGCUAACCCGCUGGCUUCCUUGAGGCCAGCGAGAAUGGUGGAGGGAUAACAGCUCAACUAGUACCUACAUUGACUUGUAAAACAUGUUGCAGGUGCACAUGGUGAAACAUAAUUAUGGCUUAAUGCAUUGAAGAACACAAGGUAUUAACAUUUUUACAAAUGUAUGUAUGACCUAAUAAUAUAAUUGCUACUUUAUCUAUGAAUCAUCAGAAUAGAUAAUAAAAAACUAGAAAAUAACAAACAAGCAUUUAUAGUAAUUGAAAUACCCAUCAUGCUGAAAUUCCAUUUUCAUUUUUUGGAUGAAUAAUGUUGUGUAUAUAAUGUCUAUCAAACUCAAUGCUCUUUUUUAAUGUAUAUACUAUUUUUGUACCAAUUUCAUUAAAAAAUAAUGGUUUUGUUCUGUGAAUCCACAAGUUGUUUGAAUGAAUUUAUCAAUUAAUCGCAACCAAAUACAUUCUCAAGAUACUUCAUGUAAGGCAAU
This is a non-coding RNA of Physcomitrium patens, 1863 nucleotides long. Lineage: Eukaryota; Viridiplantae; Streptophyta; Bryopsida; Funariales; Funariaceae. The record is from RefSeq and is a predicted model, not a curated record.